AGUCGAACGGUAGCAGGCCUUCGGGCGCUGACGAGUGGCGGACGGGUGAGUAACGCGUAGGAAUCUGCCUCAUAGUGGGGGACAACGUGGGGAAACUCACGCUAAUACCGCAUACGCCCCAAGGGGGAAAGGAGGGGAUCUUCGGACCUUUCGCUAUGAGAUGAGCCUGCGUUAGAUUAGCUAGUUGGUAGGGUAAAGGCCUACCAAGGCGACGAUCUAUAGCUGGUCUGAGAGGACGAUCAGCCACACUGGGACUGAGACACGGCCCAGACUCCUACGGGAGGCAGCAGUGGGGAAUAUUGGACAAUGGGCGAAAGCCUGAUCCAGCAAUACCGCGUGUGUGAAGAAGGCCUUAGGGUUGUAAAGCACUUUCUCUGUG
This 379-nucleotide ribosomal RNA is filed under the name uncultured bacterium. Its description in RNAcentral is "bacterial SSU rRNA". It matches the Rfam family "Bacterial small subunit ribosomal RNA", at positions 60 to 443 of the family's 1533-position model. The record is from RNAcentral.